RNAcentral lists this ribosomal RNA (422 nucleotides) under uncultured archaeon. RNAcentral describes it as "partial 16S ribosomal RNA". It matches the Rfam family "Archaeal small subunit ribosomal RNA", at positions 323 to 746 of the family's 1478-position model. The record is from RNAcentral.
CUACGGGUCGCUCCAGGCGAGAAAACUUUGCAAUGUGGGAAAGCACGACAAGGUUAAUCCGAGUGGUUUGUGCUAAACGAACCUUUUGACAGUCCUAGAAACACUGUUGAAUAAGGGGUGGGCAAGUUCUGGUGUCAGCCGCCGCGGUAAAACCAGCACCUCAAGUGGUCAGGAUGAUUAUUGGGCCUAAAGCAUCCGUAGCCGGCUCUGUAAGUUUUCGGUUAAAUCUGUACGCUCAACGUACAGGCUGCCGGGAAUACUGCAGAGCUAGGGAGUGGGAGAGGUAGACGGUACUCGGUAGGAAGGGGUAAAAUCCUUUGAUCUAUUGAUGACCACCUGUGGCGAAGGCGGUCUACCAGAACACGUCCGACGGUGAGGGAUGAAAGCUGGGGGAGCAAACCGGAUUAGAUACCCUAGUAGUC